RNAcentral lists this ribosomal RNA (506 nucleotides) under uncultured bacterium. Its description in RNAcentral is "partial 16S ribosomal RNA". It matches the Rfam family "Bacterial small subunit ribosomal RNA", at positions 28 to 523 of the family's 1533-position model. The record is from RNAcentral.
GAUGAACGCUAGCUACAGGCUUAACACAUGCAAGUCGAGGGGUAACGAGAGGAAAGCUUGCUUUCCUUGUCGACGACCGGCGCACGGGUGAGUAACGCGUAUCCAACCUGCCCCCAACUAGGGAAUAACCUUGCGAAAGUAAGACUAAUACCCUAUAAGUUCCUCAGAUGACAUCUGACGAGGAAUAAAGAUUUAUCGGUUGUGGAUGGGGAUGCGUCUGAUGAGCUUGUUGGCGGGGUAACGGCCCACCAAGGCAACGAACAGUAGGGGUUCUGAGAGGAAGGUACCCCACAUUGGAACUGAGACACGGUCCAAACUCCUACGGGAGGCAGCAGUGAGGAAUAUUGGUCAAUGGGCGGAAGCCUGAACCAGCCAAGUAGCGUGCAGGAUGACGGCCCUAUGGGUUGUAAACUGCUUUUAUACAGGAAUAAAGUUAGCCACGUGUGGUUAUUUGUAGGUACUGUAUGGAUAAGGCCCGGCUAAUUCCGUGCCAGCCGCCGCGGUAA